UACGGAGGGAGCUAGCGUUGUUCGGAAUUACUGGGCGUAAAGGGCGCGUAGGCGGUCGGGUAAGUCGGGUGUGAAAUUCCGGGGCUCAACCCCGAGAACUGCAUCCGAUACUGCUCGACUUGAGAGAGGUAGGGGCGAGUGGAAUUCCCGGUGUAGCGGUGGAAUGCGUAGAUAUCGGGAAGAACACCGGUGGCGAAGGCGGCUCGCUGGACCUUUUCUGACGCUGAAGCGCGAAAGCGUGGGGAGCAAACAGGAUUAGAUACCCCCGUA
This 270-nucleotide ribosomal RNA is filed under the name uncultured prokaryote. RNAcentral's name for it is "partial 16S ribosomal RNA". It matches the Rfam family "Bacterial small subunit ribosomal RNA", at positions 524 to 792 of the family's 1533-position model. The record is from RNAcentral.